RNAcentral lists this ribosomal RNA (440 nucleotides) under uncultured bacterium. RNAcentral's name for it is "partial 16S ribosomal RNA". It matches the Rfam family "Bacterial small subunit ribosomal RNA", at positions 338 to 795 of the family's 1533-position model. The record is from RNAcentral.
CCUACGGGAGACAGCAGUGGGGAAUAUUGCACAAUGGGGGAAACCCUGAUGCAGCGACGCCGCGUGAGUGAAGAAGUAAUUCGUUAUGUAAAGCUCUAUCAGCAGGGAAGAAAAUGACGGUACCUGAGUAAGAAGCCCCGGCUAACUACGUGCCAGCAGCCGCGGUACUACGUAGGGGGCAAGCGUUAUCCGGAUUUACUGGGUGUAAAGGGAGCGUAGACGGCAGUGCAAGUCUGGAGUGAAAGGCGGGGGCUCAACCCCCGGACUGCUCUGGAAACUGUACGGCUGGAGUGCAGGAGAGGUAAGUGGAAUUCCUAGUGUAGCGGUGAAAUGCGUAGAUAUUAGGAGGAACACCAGUGGCGAAGGCGGCUUACUGGACUGUAACUGACGUUGAGGCUCGAAAGCGUGGGGAGCAAACAGGAUUAGAUACCCGAGUAGUC